GACUCCCGACAGUGGACCCGCACGGUGAUCCGGAACAUCGCGGCGGCCGGGAAAUUCUCCAGCGACCGAACUAUCGCUCAAUACGCCCGCGAGAUCUGGGGCACGGAGCCCACCCGCCACCGCAUCCCCGCCCCCGACGAGCCCCGCCACUGACCGCCCCACAGCGCCCCAUAGCGCCCCAUAGCGCCCUACGGAGCCACGUGUCACCCCAUAGCGCCCCAUGUCUCCCCACAGCGCCUCCUGUCACCCCAUAGCGCCUCAUGUCACCCCAUAGCACCCCAUAGCACCCUACGGCGCCACAUGUCACCCCAUAGCACCCCACGUCUCCCCACAGCGCCUCCUGUCACCCCAUAGCGCCCCAUAGCACCCUACGGCGCCACAUGUCACCCCAUAGCGCCUCAUAGCGCCUCAUAGCGCCCUACAGCACCCCAUGUCACCCCAUAGAGCCUCAUGUCACCCCAUAGCACCCCAUGUCACCCCAUGUCACCCCACAGCACCUCAUGUCACCCCAUAUCACGUCAUGUUGCCCCAUAGCACCCCAUAUCGCCCCCAUAUUGUCUCAUGUCACCCCAUAUCGUCCUAUAUUGCCCCAUGUCACCCCAUAUCACCCCACAUCACCCCAUAUUGUCUCAUGUCACCCCAUAUCACCCCAUAUCGCCUCGUGUCGCCCCGUAUCGCCUCGUGUCACCCCAUAUCGCCCCAUAUUGCGUCACGUCACCCCAUAUCACCUCAUGUCACCCCAUAGCGCCCCACUAUGUGACCCACAGCGACCCACUGCACCCCGUAGCGCCUCGUGUUGCCCCACAUCUCCCCACAACAAUGAGCCAGUGCACCCCAUAUCGCCCCACAGCGCCCCAUAUCGCCCUAUACCGCCCUAUAUCGCCCCAUAGCACCCCAUAUCGCCCCAUAGCACCCCACAGCUGACAAAAACCCCACAGCAGCGGCGC
RNAcentral lists this long non-coding RNA (947 nucleotides) under Phasianus colchicus (ring-necked pheasant). RNAcentral's name for it is "lncRNA (ENSPCLG00000015986.1)". The record is from RNAcentral. Lineage: Eukaryota; Metazoa; Chordata; Aves; Galliformes; Phasianidae.